This 302-nucleotide unclassified non-coding RNA is filed under the name Hevea brasiliensis (rubber tree). The record is from RNAcentral. Lineage: Eukaryota; Viridiplantae; Streptophyta; Magnoliopsida; Malpighiales; Euphorbiaceae.
UUGGUUUCUGCGCCUCACUGCUAUUGUAUGCUGACUAGAGUUCCUUUCUUUGAGUUACACUAUGAGAUGCUGAACAGUAUCAUUGCACAGGAGCGUUUGAAUCGGAUAACACAAUUUGUUAGUGAAGUAUCAUUGAGUUGUGUCCCUACAGCAUCCAAACAACAUGAUCAAAUGAAUAUGAAUGUUGACUACCCUGAUAGGGAAUGUGAUGUUAAUUGGAUGGCUUCUGCAAUACCUGUUGACAGUGCUGUGACCUUUACUGCUGCUGCUGCUGGAAUUGUAUCAGAUGAUGAGACCCGAAC